AAUAUUGAAAUACAUCAUUUUCGCAAGAAGCGAAGGAUAACUUAAAACUAAAAACCAACAUCAUACAUCAUCACUGCUAGUUGCAAACAAAGUUCAGGAGAGUAACAAUCAAACCCUCUCACCACGGAUCCUCCUCGCCAGCUGGAUGUCCCUCGGCAUGAUAGUCACCCUCUUUGCAUGAAUCGCGCAGAGGUUGGUGUCCUCAAACAGCCCCACGAGAUAGGACUCCGACGCCUCCUGCAGCGCCGCCACAGCCGAGCUCUGGAAGCGGAGGUCAGCCUUGAAGUCCUGAGCAAUCUCCCUCACCAGGCGCUGGAAGGGCAGCUUGCGGAUGAGCAGCUCCGUGCUCUUCUGGUACUUG
This 361-nucleotide unclassified non-coding RNA is filed under the name Hevea brasiliensis (rubber tree). Lineage: Eukaryota; Viridiplantae; Streptophyta; Magnoliopsida; Malpighiales; Euphorbiaceae. The record is from RNAcentral.